AGGUCCUUAGCUCAGAUGGUAGAGCAACAGCCUUUUAAGCUGAUGGUCGCGGGUUCAAGUCCCGCAGGGCCUACCA
Molecule: transfer RNA, 76 nt
Filed under: bacterium
Lineage: Bacteria
Description: tRNA-Lys
Rfam family: tRNA
About the family: Transfer RNA (tRNA) molecules are approximately 80 nucleotides in length. Their secondary structure includes four short double-helical elements and three loops (D, anti-codon, and T loops).
Source: RNAcentral